CCUGGAGUCAAGCAAGCCUCCCACAUCAGCCUCCUGAGUAGAUUGGAGACCUGUUGUGUGUUACCUUUGGAAGGUUUUCCACAGUUGAGAUCCAGUUGCUCCAGCAUCAUUUGUUGAGUGGUCUCUCUUCAUCCACAGAGCUCCAGAGUGUCUCCUCUUACAGGACUUCUACACGUUGGGCACAAAUUUCAGCAUGGCGUUAAGAAGAACUAAAUAGUCAAUGGCAUUUUAAAGAAAGAUGAAGGGAUCAAGGCUGAGGUACAUUCAAACCCAGUUAUAACAUGAUCUCCAGGAACUGCACAGGAGGAAGCUGUCUCCACCAGGAGCUGGAUCAGAUGCUGCUCGCUGUCUACCUAUUGUUGACGUCCUCCUUCCCACGUGGAUGCAACGUGAGCAGUCAGAAAGUCAAACUUCACGGAACGACAGAGGUGCCAAAACGGCAACUCCACCACCUGUCCGAAGAUCUAAGAGAACACCAGCUGUCUGACAGUGGCUUGAACAUUAUACAUUCAGCUUUUCACUUACAAAUAUAGCUGUGAAUUCACAGGGAGUAAUCCUACGUGCUGGAUCUCAUUCUCAAGUGGGAAAAUUCUAUAGAAAAACUGAUGUCAAAUUAGCCAUUUGUGGUGGUUGCUGAAGAAGACACACCAAGUCAGAUGCUCCUGACUAAGCAAGGCGAUACCCUCCAACUGAGCAUGGAAGCCCUACUGCAAUAGGAGGGCCUUCAUCAUCCACACUGGUUAGCACUUGCCACUUCUUGCUGCCAUUGCCUCUCAUACAAGAAAGUCAAGCCAGUGUAGAUCAAAAAUAAUAACAAUAAAAAUAAAAAAAUAAAAAGGUUUACCUAAUUUUAUUCAGAAGCUUUAUUAAAGAUUUUUUUUGUAUUAUCU
This 890-nucleotide long non-coding RNA is filed under the name Homo sapiens (human). Its description in RNAcentral is "HSALNT0344693". Lineage: Eukaryota; Metazoa; Chordata; Mammalia; Primates; Hominidae. The record is from RNAcentral.